This 1405-nucleotide ribosomal RNA is filed under the name Gillisia myxillae. RNAcentral's name for it is "bacterial SSU rRNA". It matches the Rfam family "Bacterial small subunit ribosomal RNA". Lineage: Bacteria; Pseudomonadati; Bacteroidota; Flavobacteriia; Flavobacteriales; Flavobacteriaceae. The record is from RNAcentral.
UGCAGUCGAGGGGUAACGGGGUGCUUGCACCGCCGACGACCGGCGCACGGGUGCGUAACGCGUAUACAACCUACCUUAUAGAGGGGAAUAGCCCAGAGAAAUUUGGAUUAAUGCCCCAUAGUAUUAUCGAUUAGCAUUAAUUGAUGAUUAAACAUUUAUGGCUAUAAGAUGGGUAUGCGUUCUAUUAGCUAGAUGGUAAGGUAACGGCUUACCAUGGCUACGAUAGAUAGGGGUCCUGAGAGGGAGAUCCCCCACACUGGUACUGAGACACGGACCAGACUCCUACGGGAGGCAGCAGUGAGGAAUAUUGGACAAUGGGCGAGAGCCUGAUCCAGCCAUGCCGCGUGCAGGAAGACGGCCCUAUGGGUUGUAAACUGCUUUUAUACAGGAAGAAACACUCCCUUGCGAGGGAGCUUGACGGUACUGUACGAAUAAGGAUCGGCUAACUCCGUGCCAGCAGCCGCGGUAAUACGGAGGAUCCAAGCGUUAUCCGGAAUCAUUGGGUUUAAAGGGUCCGUAGGCGGGACAAUCAGUCAGCGGUGAAAGUCUGUGGCUCAACCAUAGAAUUGCCAUUGAUACUGUUGUUCUUGAAUACUUAUGAAGUGGUUGGAAUAUGUAGUGUAGCGGUGAAAAUGCAUAGAUAUUACAUAGAACACCGAUUGCGAAGGCAGAUCACUAAUAAUUUAUUGACGCUGAUGGACGAAAGCGUGGGUAGCGAACAGGAUUAGAUACCCUGGUAGUCCACGCCGUAAACGAUGGUUACUAGCUGUUCGGUCGCAAGACUGAGUGGCUAAGCGAAAGUGAUAAGUAACCCACCUGGGGAGUACGUUCGCAAGAAUGAAACUCAAAGGAAUUGACGGGGGCCCGCACAAGCGGUGGAGCAUGUGGUUUAAUUCGAUGAUACGCGAGGAACCUUACCAGGGCUUAAAUGUAGAUUGACAGGGGUGGAAACACCUUUUCCUUCGGGCAAUUUACAAGGUGCUGCAUGGUUGUCGUCAGCUCGUGCCNUGAGGUGUCAGGUUAAGUCCUAUAACGAGCGCAACCCCUGNNUAGUNNNNNUAGUUAGUCAGCGAGUCAAGUCGGGAACUCUAACAAGACUGCCAGUGCAAACUGUGAGGAAGGUGGGGAUGACGUCAAAUCAUCACGGCCCUUACGUCCUGGGCCACACACGUGCUACAAUGGUAGGGACAGAGAGCAGCCACUGCGCAAGCAGGAGCGAAUCUAUAAACCCUAUCUCAGUUCGGAUCGGAGUCUGCAACUCGACUCCGUGAAGCUGGAAUCGCUNGUAAUCGCAUAUCAGCCAUGAUGCGGUGAAUACGUUCCCGGGCCUUGUACACACCGCCCGUCAAGCCAUGGAAGCUGGAAGCACCUGAAGUCCGUCACCGUAAGGAGCGGCCUANNNNAG